AGUGAACGCUGGCGGUAGGCCUAACACAUGCCAGUCGAACGGCAGCACAGUAAGAGCUUGCUCUUACGGGUGGCGAGUGGCGGACGGGUGAGGAAUAUAUCGGAAUCUACUUUUUCGUGGGGGAUAACGUAGGGAAACUUACGCUAAUACCGCAUACGACCUACGGGUGAAAGCAUGGGAUCUUCGGACCUUGCGCGAUUGAAUGAGCCGAUGUCGGAUUAGCUGGUUGGCGGGGUAAAGGCCCACCAAGGCGACGAUCCGUAGCCGGUCUGAGAGGAUGAUCAGCCACACUGGAACUGAGACACGGUCCAGACUCCUACGGGAGGCAGCAGUGGGGAAUGUUGGACAAUGGGCGCAAGCCUGAUCCAGCCAUACCGCGUGGGUGAAGAAGGCCUUCGGGUUGUAAAGCCCUUUUGUUGGGAAAGAAAAGCAGCAGGUUGAUACCCCGCUGUUCUGACGGUACCCAAAGAAUAAGCACCGGCUAACUUCGUG
Molecule: ribosomal RNA, 492 nt
Filed under: uncultured bacterium
Lineage: Bacteria
Description: partial 16S ribosomal RNA
Rfam family: Bacterial small subunit ribosomal RNA
Source: RNAcentral